UACAUUAGAUACCCGUGUAGUCCCAGCCGUAAACUAUGCUCGCUAGGUGUCAGGCAUGGCGCGACCGUGUCUGGUGCCGCAGGGAAGCCGUGAAGCGAGCCACCUGGGAAGUACGGCCGCAAGGCUGAAACUUAAAGGAAUUGGCGGGGAGCACCACAACGGGUGGAGCCUGCGGUUUAAUUGGACUCAACGCCGGGAAGCUCACCGGAUAAGACAGCGGAAUGAUUGCCGGGCUGAAGACUCUGCAUGACUAGCUG
This 257-nucleotide ribosomal RNA is filed under the name uncultured archaeon. RNAcentral's name for it is "partial 16S ribosomal RNA". It matches the Rfam family "Archaeal small subunit ribosomal RNA", at positions 725 to 982 of the family's 1478-position model. The record is from RNAcentral.